GACGAACGCUGGCGGCGUGCUUAACACAUGCAAGUCGAACGGAAAGGCCCUGCUUUUGUGGGGUGCUCGAGUGGCGAACGGGUGAGUAACACGUGAGUAACCUGCCCUUGACUUUGGGAUAACUUCAGGAAACUGGGGCUAAUACCGGAUAGGAGCUCCUGCUGCAUGGUGGGGGUUGGAAAGUUUCGGCGGUUGGGGAUGGACUCGCGGCCUAUCAGCUUGUUGGUGGGGUAGUGGCUUACCAAGGCUUUGACGGGUAGCCGGCCUGAGAGGGUGACCGGCCACAUUGGGACUGAGAUACGGCCCAGACUCCUACGGGAGGCAGCAGUGGGGAAUAUUGCACAAUGGGCGGAAGCCUGAUGCAGCAACGCCGCGUACGGGAUGACGGCCUUCGGGUUGUAAACCGCUUUCGCCUGUGACGAAGCGUGAGUGACGGUAAUGGGUAAAGAAGCACCGGCUAACUACGUG
RNAcentral lists this ribosomal RNA (468 nucleotides) under uncultured bacterium. RNAcentral's name for it is "partial 16S ribosomal RNA". It matches the Rfam family "Bacterial small subunit ribosomal RNA", at positions 28 to 507 of the family's 1533-position model. The record is from RNAcentral.